AGUGAGGACAAGCCGCAGGAAGCAGACCCUGGAUCUCAUUCUUUCCUCCUUCUCUCGACUGGACCCUGAGAAAGAAUUGCACAGAAAAGACAAGGGGGAGACAGGGAGGCCCCUUGGAGCCUCCGGAUGCUAACCUCCAGUGGAGGUCCAGCGGGAAGGUGGAGCGUGCAGCAGUUAGGAUGUGUGCAGCUAUGGCAGCAGCACCUGUACACUGAGGACCUACUGACUCUGGGGAGCCAACAUUUGUUACGUAUGGAGGAGAUGCCCUUUGAAGCCCCCUAAUCGUGGGAGCUACCCUCCAGUGUCCGCGUCUCCAUUACCACGCAACACCCACUGAUGCCGAUACCAAGCAUCACGAAUAAACGCUGCAAAGCUCAUCAGAGGAGCAGCAGGGCUCAAUUUACCAGCACUUCCGUCUCAUUUGCUUUGCGUUCCUAUCCUACAAUCAAGGAAAUAACGUCCCCAGGCAAAGCAGUGGCGUGCCAGAUGGCAGAGGAACGCCAGGAAGUCCUCGUGGAAGUCGCGUCCUUGCCGGCAAGCUCAAGGAAACGAAUCCAUGACCCCAGCCAGAAGGAGCAAUUGUCGGGCGAGGGGAGCGUCCGCUGGGUCCCGGGAGAGGGCGCCCGCGGCUGACCACCCGCCCGCGGGGCCCCGGCGCUGGUGCGCGCGGCCGCCCCCCUCGGAGAGCUUUGGCGACAGGAGGGUCACUUCCAUUCCUCCCUGGAAGCAGAGGAGGCGUCGCGGGACUUCCUCGAAUCGAACGAGUACGACCGCCGGCCAACUACCGUGUGCGUACUGAGCCCUCCUCCUGCCAGCCGGCCCCUCCUCCUCUCCACUCCCCGCUUCCUUACCGGGCGAGCGCGGUGAGCCACUACUUCGACUUCUCAUUGUUAUUAAGAUUCCUUUCAUGGGAAAGAUGAAAUUUUGUUAGAAUAAAAGAUGAAUAGAAGGCUGACCUCCUGGGGCCCUGCAGUAUUAGUCAGUGGUGCGCAGCCUUGGCUGCAUGUUGGAACACCUGGGGAGCUUUAAAAAAAAUACUGUUUUUGGGUCCCAUCCCCAGAGACUCUGACUUAAUUGGUCUGGGAUGCAGCCUAAACAGUGGGCUUUUAUUUUUUUGAUUCUUUAAAAGAUUUUAUUUAUUUAUUCAUGAGAGAGGCAGAGACGCAGGCAGAGGGAGAAGCAGGCCCCAUGCAGGGAGCCCGACGUGGGACUCGAUCCCCAGUCUUCAGGAUCAGGGCCUGGGCUGCAGGCGGCACUAAACCGCUGAGCCACCCGCGACGCCCAACACUGGGCUUUUUAAAGGCUCUCAGGUGAUCCCAGUGAACUAAGUUGGCAAUCCACCAUUCCAAUGGAUUAGGAUGACAUUUUCCCAGGUGAACUUGAUAGUUAAACUAAGCCUCUCAAGAUGCUGCUGUAUGGCACAGUAUGAAACUGUUGUGAAUGCCUGGAAGCUGCAAGCUAAGACAGACCGAGGGGAUCCAGCUGCUCACAGUGGCUCAGGAUGAAGGUGAUGUUUCAGAGGAGCGAGAGAGCAAGUGUCUCCCUCAAAAUAGGUUCUCUCACUAAAUGAGAUGUCCUGAUUAAUAUUCCAGAGCAAAGGGAAAAAAAGAUGUGUGCCUUUCCAAGUCUGUAGGGUCUUCUGUAGAUUUAUAGACUUUAGGUCUGCUGGUACUGACCAGGGUCAUGUAUAGAUCUUCAGCCAACUGCAAGGAGAAUGGACAUAGACUGAAGAGGAGGAUUAAGAAUGCAGUGAUCACUCUAAAGAAGGGAGAUGACCACAGCUCUUCCACACUGCUAUACAGGGUUAUUCGUCUCUGCAUUCUCAGGCUCUGACCUAGACAAGCCCUUCCUUGGUGCCUCUCUCCAAGCAACCUAAGACAGUUGUAAUAUCCUCCAUCCUGCCCUUUAGUCAUUGUUUUUCUGGUCUGUGCACAACCAUACACACAACACUAUUUUGUCUCCUCCUGGAGUCCACCUGACCUCCUGAGACAAUGCCUUCGCUUAUCCACCAUGGGCCUCCCCCUGGCUUUCCCCAGCACUCACUUGGCAAGCCAGGCCAUACCCAUGCUUCAUGUUGCCUGGUCGUAGCUCUCUCAGCUGUGCUUGGACCUGCUUUUGACUAAUUUCAUGUGAACGAUAGCUUGCAGUGGCUUCUGCUACCUCAGACCCAAAGGCCCUCUCCCGACAGGCCACCUCAGAGCUGAUCCACCUCACAGAGCAGGCCAGGCCAAUACUGUGAAGGUUUCCAGUCCACUGGACGGCUACACAGGGAAGAGCACAAAUAUGUCUCAUUUCUCACUGCCCCUCCCCACCAUGACCACCAGUUUCUGAAUAGAGGCAAUUUACUUCACAGGCCCCUGGAAGAAAAUGUCCAAUUGAUCCUGCUUAACUUCAUGUAUAUCCAUUCAUCUUCAGGUGUCACCCAAGCUCAGAGUGGGAGUACUUAAGACAGUUGUGGUGCAUUAAUAAAAUCCUAUUUUAUACUUUUUCAGACUCAUCAGUGAAUCAUGAAAUCAGUUUGGUGGGUCAUGACCAGUAUUUUUAUUUUUUUAUUUAUUUAUUUUUAAAAUUUUUAUUUAUUUAUGAUAGUCACGCAGAGAGAGAGAGAGAGAGAGAGAGAGGCAGCAGAGACACAGGCAGAGGGAGAAGCAGGCUCCAUGCACCGGGAGCCCGACGUGGGAUUCAAUUCCGGGUCUCCAGGAUCGCGCC
This 2709-nucleotide long non-coding RNA is filed under the name Canis lupus familiaris (dog). RNAcentral's name for it is "lncRNA (ENSCAFG00845030899.1)". The record is from RNAcentral. Lineage: Eukaryota; Metazoa; Chordata; Mammalia; Carnivora; Canidae.